Carya illinoinensis is the source of this 719-nucleotide long non-coding RNA. RefSeq lists it as uncharacterized. The record is from RefSeq and is a predicted model, not a curated record. The transcript is spliced from 2 exons. Lineage: Eukaryota; Viridiplantae; Streptophyta; Magnoliopsida; Fagales; Juglandaceae.
CUGCAGAGCAGAGUUUAGUGGUUACUGUGAAGGCGAGCUAAUCAAAGUAUGUACUCUAUCUCUCUCUAUGCACGCACAGAAUCAUCAGUCUAAAUGUCACUUGGCACGUUCAUUGCAGUCACUGAUCCCCUUAUGGUUUCGGUAUUUCUCAAUUUAGUAGUUUGGGAUGACCGUUGGGGGUGGGAUUUCUGGGAAAAUUAAAUAUUUGACCAUGGCAAUAUCAUUAUGUUUCUCUUUAAAGAUGACUUUUGAAGAAGAUGUGGACUCAAAGUCGAGGCGGGGCGGGUGGAUUUUGGGAAGAAAGGAGGUGUGUAAUGAAGCCCAGUUGGAACAAGCAGAUCACACGGGAAGCCCAAGUGUUAGGCGACCAGUCCAUUCCAUUGCAUUAAAGCUUCAGAGUCAAAACGUAGCGUUGAGGUGAAGAAAAGAGAGAACAUGCAGCGAAGAAUGAAACGCUGUGUUCAGUCGAGUCUUCUAGAAUAUAGUUAUUUUAAGAGUGUUAUUCAAUUACCAGUUUGUCCUAAGUAAUUUGGUAUUUUUAUAGUACACGUGUCUUGUGUUGAUUAGUUUAGUUUGUUAUUCCUGGAGAGCGUAAGAAAGGAAGAGGAGGGCGUGAAAGGUUUAUUAUGAAUUUGCUUGCAAGAACUUCGUUCAUCUGGAGGUUGGGAUUUGCCUCGAACUAUUUCCCAGAUAUUAAUAUAACUUCAUAGUUUUCUCCA